This 1587-nucleotide ribosomal RNA is filed under the name Corythornis leucogaster (White-bellied kingfisher). RNAcentral describes it as "16S ribosomal RNA". It matches the Rfam family "Bacterial large subunit ribosomal RNA". The record is from RNAcentral. Lineage: Eukaryota; Metazoa; Chordata; Aves; Coraciiformes; Alcedinidae.
CUCUAGCCCAACACCCAAACUUUCACAAAAAAAAAACAAAAAAAUCAACUAUCACCUUAAACUAAAACAUUUCUCCCAUCUUAGUAUAGGCGAUAGAAAAGAUAUAGCGGCGCUAUAGAGAUAUGUACCGUAAGGGAAGGAUGAAAUAACAAUGAAAACCCAAGCUAUAAACAGCAAAGAUUAACCCUUGUACCUUUUGCAUCAUGAUUUAGCAAGAACAACCAAGCAAAGCGAAUUUAAGUUUGCCCUCCCGAAACCCAUGCGAGCUACUUAUAGGCAGCUAUCAAUGAGCGAACCCGUCUCUGUGACAAAAGAGUGGGAAGACCUAUUAGUAGAGGUGAAAAUCCAACCGAGCUGGGUGAUAGCUGGUUGCCUGUGAAGCGAACCUUAGUUCCCCCCUGAUUAGUACCAAGUGGGAAACCAAUUCAAGCCACCAUGUAAACUACCAGGAGCAAAUUAAAGGAGGUACAGCUCCUUUAAAACGGACACAACCCAUAUUAGUGGAUAACACACUUUCCCCUCAGUUGUGGGCCUUCUAGCAGCCAUCAACAAAGAUUGCGUCAAAGCUCAAUAUCGCCAAAAACCCACACACAACCACGACUCCCUUCACACUAACGGGCCAGCCUAUAAUGUAUAGGAGAAUUAAUGCUAAAAUGAGUAACCAGGGAAAUCUCCCUCUAAAGCGCAAACUUACAUCCUCACAUUAUUAACAAGUCUACCUAAUACCCCCAAACAUCAACAAGACUAGGUAUUCCAACCCCCUGUUAACCCAACUCUGGAGCGCCCUCUAGAAAGAUUAAAAUCUGUAAAAGGAACUAGGCAAACCCAAGGCCCGACUGUUUACCAAAAACAUAGCCUUUAGCGAACCAAGUAUUAAAGGUGAUGCCUGCCCAGUGACACUACGUUAAACGGCCGCGGUAUCCUAACCGUGCAAAGGUAGCGCAAUCAAUUGUCCCAUAAAUCGAGACUUGUAUGAAUGGCUAAACGAGGUCUUAACUGUCUCUUACAGAUAAUCGGUGAAAUUGAUCUCCCCGUGCAAAAGCGGGAAUAAACCCAUAAGACGAGAAGACCCUGUGGAACUUUAAAAUCAACAGCCAUUAUACACCAAAUUCUACCCUACCAGGCUUACCAUCCAAACCCAUGGCUGAUAUUUUUCGGUUGGGGCGACCUUGGAGAAAAACCAAUCCUCCAAAAAUAAGACCUAACCUCUUAACCAAGAGCAACCCCUCAACGUACAAACAGUAACCAGACCCAAUAUAAUUGACCAAUGAACCAAGCUACCCCAGGGAUAACAGCGCAAUCUCCUCCAAGAGCCCAUAUCGACGAGGAGGUUUACGACCUCGAUGUUGGAUCAGGACAUCCUGAUGGUGCAGCCGCUAUCAAGGGUUCGUUUGUUCAACGAUUAACAGUCCUACGUGAUCUGAGUUCAGACCGGAGCAAUCCAGGUCGGUUUCUAUCUAUGACUAGCCCCUCCUAGUACGAAAGGACCGGAGAGGCGGGGCCUAGGCUUCUAGCAAGCCCCCACACCAAAGUAAUGAACCCAACUAAAUUACAAAGGACCCCACCAUAACCUCCUAGAAAAGGACC